UCCGUAGGCGGGUAAUUAAGUCAGAGGUGAAAUCCCACAGCUCAACUGUGGAACUGCCUUAGAUACUGGUUAUCGUGAGUUUUAGUGAAGUAGAUAGAAUGUGUAGUGUAGCGGUGAAAUGCAUAGAUAUUACACAGAAUACCGAUUGCGAAGGCAGUCUACUAACUAACAACUGACGCUAAUGGACGAAAGCGUGGGGAGCGAACAGGAUUAGAUACCCUGGUAGUCC
Molecule: ribosomal RNA, 229 nt
Filed under: uncultured bacterium
Lineage: Bacteria
Description: partial 16S ribosomal RNA
Rfam family: Bacterial small subunit ribosomal RNA
Source: RNAcentral